UGAGAAUCUGCCUUUUGGUCGGGGACAACCACUGGAAACGGUGGCUAAUACCGGAUAAGCCUGCGGGUAAAAGAUUAAUUGCCAAGAGAGGAGCUCGCGUCUGAUUAGCUAGUUGGUGAGGUAAAGGCUCACCAAGGCGGCGAUCAGUAGCUGGUCUGAGAGGAUGACCAGCCACACUGGGACUGAGACACGGCCCAGACUCCUACGGGAGGCAGCAGUGGGGAAUUUUCCGCAGUGGGCGAAAGCCUGACGGAGCAAGACCGCGUGAGGGAGGAAGGCUCUUGGGUUGUAAACCUCUUUUGUCAGGGAAGAACACAAUGACGGUACCUGAAGAAUCAGCAUCGGCUAACUCCGUGCCAGCAGCCGCGGUAAUACGGAGGAUGCAAGCGUUAUCCGGAAUUAUUGGGCGUAAAGCGUCCGCAGGUGGCACUUCAAGUCUGCUGUCAAAGACCGGGGCUUAACCCUGGAAAGGCAGUGGAAACUGAAGCGCUAGAGUGUGGCAGGGGUAGAGGGAAUUCCCGGUGUAGCGGUGAAAUGCGUAGAGAUCGGGAAGAACAUCGGUGGCGAAAGCGCUCUACUGGGCCACAACUGACACUCAGGGACGAAAGCUAGGGGAGCGAAUGGGAUUAGAUACCCCAGUAGUCCUAGCCGUAAACGAUGGAUACUAG
RNAcentral lists this ribosomal RNA (668 nucleotides) under uncultured cyanobacterium. Its description in RNAcentral is "bacterial SSU rRNA". It matches the Rfam family "Bacterial small subunit ribosomal RNA", at positions 118 to 819 of the family's 1533-position model. Lineage: Bacteria; Bacillati; Cyanobacteriota. The record is from RNAcentral.